CGGCGGACGGGUGAGUAACACGUGGAUAACCUACCUAUAAGACUGGGAUAACUUCGGGAAACCGGAGCUAAUACCGGAUAAUAUAUUGAACCGCAUGGUUCAAUAGUGAAAGACGGUUUUGCUGUCACUUAUAGAUGGAUCCGCGCCGCAUUAGCUAGUUGGUAGGGUAACGGCUUACCAAGGCGACGAUGCGUAGCCGACCUGAGAGGGUGAUCGGCCACACUGGAACUGAGACACGGUCCAG
RNAcentral lists this ribosomal RNA (244 nucleotides) under uncultured Staphylococcus sp. RNAcentral describes it as "partial 16S ribosomal RNA". It matches the Rfam family "Bacterial small subunit ribosomal RNA", at positions 96 to 334 of the family's 1533-position model. The record is from RNAcentral. Lineage: Bacteria; Bacillati; Bacillota; Bacilli; Caryophanales; Staphylococcaceae.